UCUGGUAAUCCUAUAGCGAAUCAAUAAAUGCCAACUAUCAGCAAUAAAUUAGGCAGUAGCUGAAACGCGCCGAGGAACGCGUGAAUCUUAAAACUGAAAACAAAAUCAUCGCGCCUUCCAAUUGCAGGUCCUUAUAUAAACGCACAGCCAAAACUAUCAACACAGUUCCUUAAUUCUCUCCUCUGUGACUGCUGCUAUUUUUCCUUCAAACACAAAUCAACCUCAGAGCACAACACAACACCACACAAACAUUUUAACCUUAAAAAGGAAAUCUGUGUUUCAAAAAUCCAUGUCAGAAAACAACGCCAACACAACAGACCCUUUAUUGGGAAGAAAGAGCAGCAAAUUUACAAGAAGUGUGUCACAUGCAUACGAUGAAUUACAAAGCUUUAGAUCUUACCUACGGUGGAUGUGUGUCGAUCAAUCCAAUAUAUGGGUUACUU
This 443-nucleotide long non-coding RNA is filed under the name Ricinus communis (castor bean). RNAcentral describes it as "long non-coding RNA (RCOM_LNC002677)". The record is from RNAcentral. Lineage: Eukaryota; Viridiplantae; Streptophyta; Magnoliopsida; Malpighiales; Euphorbiaceae.